Rattus norvegicus (Norway rat) is the source of this 1777-nucleotide long non-coding RNA. The record is from Ensembl. Lineage: Eukaryota; Metazoa; Chordata; Mammalia; Rodentia; Muridae.
UUUUUUUUUCCAUUCAAGAGAAUUAAGUCGUUUAUUGAGUACACAUGAUAAUGGAUGAUACACAAGCUUCAUUCCAUCUGUUAUUUUAUCUGAUACCGUUAUUCAAUUUUGAUAUUGCAUAGGGUGUGCCAACAACCAUUUUAUAACCAAAUUGUGAUCUUGCUUGGAUGACCCUUUAAAUGGUGAAACUAAUUAAUUUACAACAGUAACUGGCAGUUUAGCAACACCAAGGUUUUUGAAGACAAUGGCUUCUCCACCCAAGCAACCAUAAAUAAAUUCCAAAUGGAAUUUGGCACCACACUGAAGGAAUUCUAACUUCACACUAUUGGGGAAGUUUACCAAGAUGGCUUCAGAGUAGACUAACUUUACACAGCACAUUUAAAAAAAAGACACAUUUAUUCAGCGUCAUGAUCAGACUUUUACAUUUAGCAAUCAACAGCAUGGGUGAAAAAGGUCUACAGUAAAACCCUUCGUUGAAAUGCUUUACACUUUCCACAGAACAGAAACUAAAAUAACCUGUUAUACAAUUAGUCACAGAUACAGUCUUGGAGUUUUUGCCCACACACAUGAGUAUUGUCUAAAACAUGUCUUCCUUGUAGCAGCUAGGCCCUGCCACCACUGUGCUUGGCUAAGUUCACAAAUCUGUUGUAACCUGUAGCUUCCCUGUCACUUCUCUGGCUCUCCUCUCCUGCUAAGCUUUGUUUCCUGGCUAGCUCCUGCCUCCAAAGUUUCCUCCUUUCAUCGGUCCAAAAUUUGAUGACUGGUUGUUGUAAUUGCCAAAAUCAUUGUAGCUUCCACCACCUCCAAAAUUGCUUCCACUACCACUGCCAAAGCCGCCUCUGCCUCCUCCGUUGUUAUAGCUGUCAUAGCUGCCACUCCCGCCAUAGCCACUGCCCUGGUUUCCAUAACCCUGUCCACCACUUCCAUAGCCUCUGCUUCCUCCAGAGUAACCAGGGCCGCCUCCUCCAUAACCACCAUCAUUGACAAAUCCAUUAUAGCCAUCCCCACUGCCACCAUAUCCACCACCACCAUGACUGCCACCAAAGCCACCACGACCACUGAAGUUCCCUCCUCGACCAAAAUUGUCAUUGCCACCGAAACCACCUCCAUGACCACCACGAAAGUUUCCGGAACCACUUCGACCUCUCUGGCUGGAUGAAGCACUAGCCAUAUCUUGUUUCAACUCUUGUUUCACAGUUGUGGCCAUUCACAGUAUGGUAUUUCUGAAUAACAAUCUUAUCCACAGAGUCAUGGUCAUCAAAGGUGACAAACGCAAAUCCCCUCUUUUUUCCACGGCCUCUGUCAGUCAUAAUUUCAAUCACUUCAGUUUUCCCAUACUGCUCAAAAUAAUCUCGUAGGUGAUGUUCUCAGUGUCUUCUUUAAUACCUCCAACAAAGAUCUUCUUCACAGUUAAGUGGGCACCUGGUCUCUGAGAAUCUUCUCUUGACACAGCUCUCUUAGGUUCCACAACUCUUCCAUUCACCUUCUGUGGUCUUGCAUUCAUGGCAGCAUCCACUUCCUCCACAGUGGCAUAUGUGACAAACCCAAAGCCUCUGGAUCUUUUGGUGUUUGGAUCUCUCAUUACCACACAGUCGGUGAGUGUUCCCCAUUGCUCAAAAUGGCUCCUCAGACUCUCGUCGGUUGUUUCGAAGCUCAGCGCUCCAAUGAAGAGCUUCCGCAGCUGUUCCGGUUCCUUGGGGGACUCUGACUUAGACAUGACAGUAGGAUGAUGAGAGCGUUCAGCGAUGCUUCCUCGCCAGCGUCAAAGAGUAGAAAG